This is a long non-coding RNA of Mytilus californianus (California mussel), 3256 nucleotides long. RefSeq lists it as uncharacterized. The record is from RefSeq and is a predicted model, not a curated record. Lineage: Eukaryota; Metazoa; Mollusca; Bivalvia; Mytilida; Mytilidae. The transcript has 2 exons.
UAGUCCUUAUAAAAAUUGUCUGGUCAGACAAAUAUAACUAGUAUAAAAAGUCCAUGGAUACAGAAUUUACUAGUAUAUUUAGUCUGAUGUCAGUAAUUUAUGUCCCCAGACUAAUUUUCCUAGUCCAAGACAUCACUAUUCCUAGGUAAAAAUGUCCAGUUUUUAUACGGCCGCAAAAAAUUUUUGCAGUCGUAUAUUGGUAUGACAUUGGCGUCUUCGUCCGAAGACACAUUGGUUUUCGCACAAUAACUUUAGUUUAAGUGAAUGGAUCUAUAUGAAAUUUUACCAUAAGGUUCAAUACCACAAAAGGAAGGUUCGGAAUGAUUUUUGGGGUUAUGGUAACAACAGUUAAGGAAUUAGGGGCCAAAAAGGGGCCAAAAAUAAGCAUUUUUGUAACUUCCAGACAAUAACUUGUAUGUUAGUGUAUGGAUCUCUCUGACAUUGUACCACAAGGUUCCAUAUCACAAAGGGAAUGCUGGGAUUGAUUUUGGGGGUAAUUGCCUCAAAAUUUUAGGAAUUAGGGGCCAAAAAAGGGGCAAAAAACAAGCAUUUUUCUAGUUUCAUGACAAUUACUUGUGUGUAAGUGUAUGGAUCUUUCUGAAAUUGUACUACAAGGUUCCAUAUCACAAAGGGAAAGCUGGAAUUGAGUUUGGGGGUAAUUUCCCAAAAACUUUUAGGAAUAAGGGGCCAAAAAGGGGCUAAAAAUAAGCAUUUUUCUAGUUUCCAGACAAUAACUUGUGUUCAAGUAUAUGGAUCUCUCUGAAAUUGUACUGCAAGGUACCAUACCACAAAGGGAAGGCUGGGAUUGAUUUUGGGGGUAAUGGGCUUAAAAUAUUAGGAAUUAGGGGCUAAAAAGGGGCAAAAAACAAGCCUUUUUCUAGUUUCAGGACAAUAACUUGUGUGUAAGUGUAUGAAUCUUUAUGAAAUUGUACUACAAGGUUCCAUAUCUCAAAGGGAAAGCUGGGUUUGAGUUUGGGGGUAAUUGCCCUAAACGUUUAGGAAUUUGGGGCCAAAAAGGGGCAAAAAAACAAGCAUUUUUCUAGUUUCCAGACAAUAACUUGUGUUCAAGUGUAUGGAUCUUUCUGAAAUUGUACUGCAAGGUACCAUACUACAAAGGGAAGGCUGAGAUUGAGUUUGGGGGUGAUGAAUCAUAAAGGGAUUAAAAAAAUGGGGGGGGGAUUUUUUUUUCCUAUUUUUUUUCUUCAAAAUUUUCCAUUUUAAGUUGGUUAUUUUUUAUUUAUGUAUAAAAGCAAAUAAUAAUGAUAUGAUUUGAUUUCAUCAAAAAUUGAAAUAUUGGGCUUCUUUGAUAUGCUGAAUUUAACCGUGUAUUUAGAUUCUUAAUUUUUGGUCCCGUUUUCCAAUUGGUCUACAUUAAGGUCCAAAGGGUUCAAAAUUAAACUUAGUUUGAUUUUAACAAAAAUUGAAUUCUUGGGGUUCUUUGAUAUGCUGAAUCUAACCGUGUAUGUAUUUAGAUUUUGGAUAUUGGACCAUAAUAGGUAAAUUAAAAAAUUUUAAGUUCUUAGACCACAUUCAUUCUGUGUCAGAAACCUAUGCUGUGUCAAAUAUUUAAUCGCAAUCCAAAUUCAGAGCUGUAUCAAGCUUGAAUGUUGUGUCCAUACUUGCCCCAACUGUUCAGGGUUCUAACUCUGCGGUCGUAUCAAGCUGCACCCAGAGGAGCAUUUUAUUCUAAUACUGUAUGCAAUAUGUCAAGUAUAUUUGGUGUAUGAAAAUUUUUAAGGAUGUACAUGUUAGUCUGGCAUGUUUUAUUCGACCUUGACCUCAUUUUUAUGGUUCAUUGCUCAAUGUUAUUUUUUUGUUUUUUUGUCAGUUUUUCUAUUUUCUUAUUUUCAAAUUAGCAAUAGGUCAACUAUAUUUGGUGUAUGGAAUGAUAGUAAGGUGCAUAUCAUGAUAUGUUUGACUGAGAAGUUUCGUCUUACCUUGACUUUAUUUUCAUAGUACAUUGGACAAUGUUUAGUUUUUGUGGUUUGGUCUAUUUUUCGGAUACUGUAAGCAAUAAGGCCCCUAUAUUUGGUGAAUGGAAUGAUUGUAAGAUGCACAUGUCUGUCUGGCAUGUUUUAUAUGACCUUGACCUCAUUUUCAUGGUUCAUUGGUCAAUGAAAAGUUUGCAUUGUUUUGUCAGUUUGUCAUAUGCUUUAAGCAACAGGUAAAUUAUAUUUGGCGGAUGUAACGAUUGUAAGGUGUGCAUGUCUGUCUGGCAGAUUUAUAUAACCAUGACCGUAUUUUAUGGUUCUUUGGUCAAUGCUAAGUUUUCUUGGUUUUUUCUUUUUAUCAGAUAUUAUAAGCAUAUAUGUCUACUUGUAAGUGUAUGGAAUGACUGCAAGGUGUCAUAUAAAAAUAAGAAGUUGUCUGUCUGCCAAGGUUAAUAUUACUGUGACCUCAUUUUCAUAGAAUAUUGAUAAUAUUAAACAAAAAAAAUGAUGAGCAUGACAAGAUAUACAAAUGAUCCAAAAUUGUCAGUUGCCUACUAAUUAUGUAAUAGUAGUUAUUGUCAUUAAAUGAUAAUGUUUACCCUUUUAUGUGUAGGGCAAGAACAUUAAAGAUAAAGGGAAACUAUAAACAAAAGAGAUUAUCAACAAAAAUAGAUUUCAGACAUCAACAAAGCCUAAAUGGUCAGACAUCUUGGUUUUCAUGAUCAUCAUUCAACAGGUCAAUACUGAACAGAAAACUUAAAGUUGAUAUUUUUCUAUAUAGUGUGACUUUUUUAUUAAUUUGAAAUGGAAUGUGUUUUUUUCCUACAUAAGAAAGAGGAAAUUUCAACAUAAUGACUAUAAACAAAAAGGAUCAUAGAUGCACAAGAACUAAAUCAUGUAAAUGCAACAACGUAAUUAUCAAUUGAAAGAAGGGAGGAAUGAAAAAAUAUAUUAGUAAUUUGUUGUCCAAAUGAACUUGCUUUGUCCACUCAUUUAAAUCGCUCCAUCCAAUAAAGAUGUACGGAGGAGGAUUUUUGAAGAACAGAUUGCAAAAAUGUUUUGUCUAAGAAUUGUAGGAAUAUUCUAGUGGAUGAAAUAAUUUAUUUACUUGACUCUUAUGUAGUGGACUGAAUAAUUGUACAUAGCAAGUUGAAACAAGAAAACUAAAACUUAACAGGAAAAGUGUUUAUUUUAUAAAUUUGCAAAUAUAAACGUAAUAUUAUGAACACCACAAAGGUAUAAGAUUCAAAUUGUUUGCAUAUUCAUGUAUUGCAAUGGAACUAUAACAAAGAAAACUUUACCUCAUUAAAAGAGUAAACUAUUAA